UGACUGUACCCUAAGAAUAAGGUCCGGCUAACUUCGUGCCAGCAGCCGCGGUAAUACGAAGGGACCUAGCGUAGUUCGGAAUUACUGGGCGUAAAGCGCGCGUAGGCCGUUGAGUUAGUUAAUUGUGAAAUCCCAAAGCUUAACUUUGGAACUGCAAUUAAAACUGCUCGACUAGAGUUUGAUAGAGGAAAGCGGAAUACAUAGUGUAGAGGUGAAAUUCGUAGAUAUUAUGUAGAACACCAGUUGCGAAGGCGGCUUUCUGGAUCAACACUGACGCUGAGGCGCGAAAGUAUGGGUAGCAAAGAGGAUUAGAUACCCUCGUAGUCCAUACCAUAAACGAUGAUUGCUAGAUGUUGGAAAUUUAUUUUCAGUAUCGCAGCUAACGCAUUAAGCAAUCCGCCUGGGGGAGUACGACCGCAAGGUUAAAACUCAAAUGAAUUGACGGGGACCCGCACAAGCGGUGGAGCAUGGUGGUUUAAUUCGAAGAUACGCGCAGAACCUUACCAACCCUUGACAUGUUCGGAAUUCUGCAGAGAAUGCGGAAGUGCUCGAAAGAGAACCGGAACACAGGUGCUGCAUGGCUGUCGUCAGC
Molecule: ribosomal RNA, 592 nt
Filed under: uncultured bacterium
Lineage: Bacteria
Description: bacterial SSU rRNA
Rfam family: Bacterial small subunit ribosomal RNA
Source: RNAcentral